UUUCCGUAGGUGAACCUGCAGAAGGAUCAUUAGCGAAGUUGAGGCUGGACUCUUUCCCGUCUCCACCUUUUUUCUACUUCUGCGCACUGUCUUCUACUAACCGCACCUGACGUACUGGGAUGUCAACAUUUUAAACAGCUAAAACUUUCAGCAACGGAUCUCUCGGCUCUCGCAUCGAUGACGAACGCAGCCGAUCGCAAGAGCCAACGUCUGAAUUAAAGCCAAGCAUACACCAACCGUACGCCUUCUUCUGCCUGCAAAGAAAAACGCAGCAGACCC
RNAcentral lists this unclassified non-coding RNA (279 nucleotides) under plant metagenome. Its description in RNAcentral is "partial contains small subunit ribosomal RNA, internal transcribed spacer 1, and 5.8S ribosomal RNA". The record is from RNAcentral.